AGGGGUGUAUGCAAGUGGUUAAAGCGGCUAGAUUUUGGCUCUAGUGCCUUCGGGCUUCGAGAGGUUCGAAUCCUUCCACCCCUACCA
RNAcentral lists this transfer RNA (87 nucleotides) under bacterium. RNAcentral's name for it is "tRNA-Gln". It matches the Rfam family "tRNA". Rfam says of the family: Transfer RNA (tRNA) molecules are approximately 80 nucleotides in length. Their secondary structure includes four short double-helical elements and three loops (D, anti-codon, and T loops). Further hydrogen bonds mediate the characteristic L-shaped molecular structure. tRNAs have two regions of fundamental functional importance: the anti-codon, which is responsible for specific mRNA codon recognition, and the 3' end, to which the tRNAs corresponding amino acid is attached (by aminoacyl-tRNA synthetases). tRNAs cope with the degeneracy of the genetic code in two manners: having more than one tRNA (with a specific anti-codon) for a particular amino acid; and 'wobble' base-pairing, i.e. permitting non-standard base-pairing at the 3rd anti-codon position. The record is from RNAcentral.